GACACAUUCACCUACUUGUUGACUAAAAGUUUCUUUACUGGAUAGAGUGUGAUUCUAGGCUUUGCAUUUGUUCAAUUUGCAUAUUACUUUGAGCAGCCUGGUAUUUUUCCAUUUUAACAAUUUCUUCAUGUUUUCUUUCAGUUACCUUCAGGUUUCAGCAAACAAGAUAAACUUGUGUGGGGGGAAAUGUGCAUCUGCAGUUAAUAAACAAAAAGUGCCAUAGAACUCCACUGACAAAGGGAUUCUGGGAGUUAUAUGUGCACAUUGAAGUGCUGAUGUUUGCCUGAGUCUAAUAUGGUACAAAUAACUCCCUGUGUAGACAGCAAAGAACUUUUAACAUAACAGAGAUGCUGUGUACUCUUGGCCUUCAUCAACAUAUAUGUCCUUAAGCUGCUAUAAGAAGUGUAUUAAGGAGCUGAAGAAAAUCCAUUCACAUUCUGCUGUGUUGCUUUCUUCUGAAGUCAUGAACCCAUCACAGACUGUUUCUAGCUGUAGGUUGCACAGUGAAGAUUUACAAUGCCAGUUAUUCAUACAUCUGCCUUCUCUCUCUCCUCCCUUCACUCCCCCCUUAUUCUUUAAUCCCUAGGGUGAGGGCAACCUUGAUACUGAGGCUCAUAAAAUUCAUGCAGGCUUAUCAUCCUUGGUGAAGGCUUCAGGCACUCAUUACUGCAUCCAACUGCCUGCUCACUGCCAUGACAGAACUAGGCCUAUGGCUUAUAUUUUUAACAACAAAACAUACCAAUUUGCUAACAGAAAAAAAAGCUAAAAGCUUCAGAAAAUGAUGUGUUUAUAAUGAUCAAUCUUUUUAAUUACUUUUGGAAUAAUCCUGAUACAGUAUGUGUUUUCCCAAAGUAUAUUAAAAAAUUAGGUUUAAAAAAAAGAUUGAAAAAAAUAAUGAAAUGUGAAUGAAUUGUCAUAUCUGUUGAGAAACCCACUGGAAAUGGCAGAAUACUAGUAAAAGAGUGGGUGAGAGACUCUGACACUACCUGGAUAAACAAUUUAAGAUGACUGAAGAAAGUGAUUAAUUAAACAAAUUGACAAAUAAAGUCAUUCGCUAGGGAACAAGGUUUGAUUUCUUCACUUCGUCUGUGUGUUUAUUGUAAUUAUUAUGAUGUUUAACUAUUACUUUUAAUAUGUCUUGAUUUAUUGAUUGCACUGUCUUACAGUGAUUUGUGAAUUCUACAGCAGUUACAUGUCUUAUAUUUAAGUUAUUAUAUAUAAGUAAAGUAAUUUCACCAGAUGGUAGGUUACAGACAAAAUGAGAACAGAAAACUUAUAAAGGAGCCUAUAAGCUCCCAAGCAGGGCUAGUGGUGAAUUAACUAUUUGUUAUUUUUUUUAAAAAGCAAGAGCUUAAUCUGAAAAACAAUAUGUAUCUAUAACAGGUAUGGAAUAUGUUAUCUGGAAACCCUUUAUCCAGAAAGCUCCAAAUUAGGG
Molecule: long non-coding RNA, 1435 nt
Organism: Xenopus laevis (African clawed frog)
Lineage: Eukaryota; Metazoa; Chordata; Amphibia; Anura; Pipidae
Exons: 3
Source: RefSeq, a predicted model, not a curated record